AAAGUUACUCAGUACAUAUAUCACUAAAAGGUAGCAAUUGCUUAAUAAAAUAAUUAAGAUACGUGAUCCGGACAAUACUACUAUUUUUUUUAUUAAAUAAAGGGGAGAUGGAAAAAGUCUCGUGAUAAACUGGAUUGGCAGAUAUCUGCUAUUAAUUUAUUGCCACAAAAAAACUCAGGAGGGUAUCCUGCAAAUAGUUUAUUCUUAGGUUUCCAAACGAAUAAAUAAACUAAAUAUUCUUUCUUUCCUCUUCUGUGCAUCUCCCCAAUUGAUUGUGACAUGCACUCAUAAAAAACAGCACCAUCUCCUUUGUAUAGAAUAUCCGUAGCUCUCUAACAGAAUGAUUGAAUCUCAUUCGCUGGACAAGAGUGAUUGCUCCAAUGGUAGCACAUUUCACCUGCAACUUAGGAUGUGGGUUCGAAUCAUCAAAGGAGCAACAACUUUAACAUAAGGGAUCAAAACAGAAUCAAAGAGAAGAAAAAUAAAAAAAAGAAAUAUUAAAUCAAGAAUAUACGAUUAUGUGAAAUUGAAGUGACCAUUUUUUUAAAAAUAAAAAAUCACAUUAGUAGUUGAAAAGAUAAUAUCUAUUGGGUGGUACAUAAUGAAUCUCGAAAAUUAAUAUGUGGAUUGCUACAUGGAACUUAGUUCAAAGGGAGAUUGUUGAGUGUACGAACAAAGUCUCACAUUGAUAGUUAAAAAGAUUGAAAGCUUAAAUAUAAAUUAUAGGGAUCUGCUAGUGGUGUGAGACCUUUUAGAAAAAAAUAAUACGAGUCUGAUGUUAUUGGGUUGAUUUGCCUAACAAUAUCAAAUGUUAAAUCGGCCUUGAUAUAAAAGAAGCUUAUUUAGUGUAGCAAUAAAGGUGACUCAAUUUUUCUUUGAGAAAUUUUCAUAAAACACUAUAAUUUAGAGUCUAGUAACUAUUGUUUGCCUAAUUACCAUUUAUAGUUAUUCUUCAAUUGUUACCAACUUGUAUCAUUUAUAUUCAAACGCGCAAUGAAUACAACUUGUGUCAACUGUAUUAGUUCGCGCAACGAAUACAACUUGUAUCAACUGUAUUCGUUUGCGCAAUUGUAUUAGUUCGCGCAACAAAUUGUAUUCUUUUCUUUCUUCUUCAUGUUUGUCUCACUUGUCUUUUCGAAGUAUUGGAAUAACGAUAAAGUUGUUACAGUGUAACCUAUAUGAAUCACGAGUUUAAAAGGGCAACUCAGUGCACAAUUUAUCCCGCGUUCAUGCAUGGUCCGGGGAAGAACCGCACUCAAGGGGUGUGAUGUAGACAGUCUAACCUAAUGAAUCACAAGUUUGAGCCGUAGAAUUAGUUACUGAUCCUUAUGCCAGGGUAGGCACCUCCUUGGGGUACGACCAUUCUCCGAACCAUGCGUAAACUCCUGUUACUUUGUGUACCGAAUUGCACGAUUUUGUCUCUUCUUCCUUUGAACUAGUUACUCCACACGCAAGUAUAGUCUAUCUGUUCCAAUUUAUGUGUCGAACUUUUUUUAGUCUGUCCCAAAAAUAAAUGUCAUACUUUCUUAUUUAAAAAUAAUCUAACUUUAAACUUUCUUCUUUAUCCUUAAUGAGAUGAUUAAUUUAUAACCACACAAAUAUCUAUAAUUUAUUUUAAAUUAAUUGGUGUUGAUUUCAAGAUACUUGAAAUCCUCUAUGCAUUUUUUGGAAGGUUAUGGUGGAUCCAGAUGCUCCAAUCCCAAGCAACCCAAACGAGAGGGAGUAUCUCCACUAGUAAUAUUAUGAUCCAUCUUUUAUUUUUUUCUGUUCUUUUUAUUAAAAGAGAAAAAUAUUUUCUCUGUUUCAAUUUAUGUGAUAGUGUAUAAUUUUGCAUGGAGUUUAAGAAUAAAAAAAAUUAACAUUAUGGUCUAAAAUAAGUCAUAGAAUUUUUGUGGGUAUAAAUCAUCACAGAAUAAAAUGAAAAGUUUAAAAUUAAACUAUUAUUAAAUAUUAAAAUUUAAUUAAAACAUUUUCAACGUGUUUGGGAGUAAGACAUAAUAAUAGUAGUAGUAGUUGUUGUACUAAAAAUAAAAAAUAUUAUUCUUUUUUGGGUGGACUAAAAAGGAAAAAAUAUCAAGAGAAUAAUAUUCUUAGUUUUGGCAUGAAUCACACUUUAAAUUAAAUGUCUUGCACUGACCUUUGUACUUGAUUGCUUGAACUUGAACUUGAUUGCUUGAACUUGAAUUUGUGGAGAAAUUUGAAGUGUUUGAUCCACGAGCUCUUUCUUGCUUCUUG
RNAcentral lists this long non-coding RNA (2235 nucleotides) under Nicotiana tabacum (common tobacco). RNAcentral's name for it is "long non-coding RNA (NTAB_LNC008849)". The record is from RNAcentral. Lineage: Eukaryota; Viridiplantae; Streptophyta; Magnoliopsida; Solanales; Solanaceae.